AGAGUUUGAUUAUGGCUCAGGAUGAACGCUAGCUACAGGCUUAACACAUGCAAGUCGAGGGGCAGCAUGGUCUUAGCUUGCUAAGGCUGAUGGCGACCGGCGCACGGGUGAGUAACGCGUAUCCAACCUUCCCCUUAGUAGGGCAUAGCCCGGCGAAAGUCGGAUUAACACCCUAUGUUUUCCGUUGCGGGCAUCUAAUAUGGAACAAAGAUUUAUCGCUAAGGGAUGGGGAUGCGUCUGAUUAGGUAGUAGGCGGGGUAACGGCCCACCUAGCCCUCGAUCAGUAGGGGUUCUGAGAGGAAGGUCCCCCACAUUGGAACUGAGACACGGUCCAAACUCCUACGGGAGGCAGCAGUGAGGAAUAUUGGUCAAUGGCCGAGAGGCUGAACCAGCCAAGUAGCGUGCAGGACGACGGCCCUAUGGGUUGUAAACUGCUUUUAUGCGGGGAUAAAGUCGCCCACGUGUGGGUGUUUGCAGGUACCGCAUGAAUAAGGACCGGCUAAUUCCGUGCCAGCCGCCGC
Molecule: ribosomal RNA, 521 nt
Filed under: uncultured bacterium
Lineage: Bacteria
Description: bacterial SSU rRNA
Rfam family: Bacterial small subunit ribosomal RNA
Source: RNAcentral